This 381-nucleotide ribosomal RNA is filed under the name uncultured bacterium. Its description in RNAcentral is "bacterial SSU rRNA". It matches the Rfam family "Bacterial small subunit ribosomal RNA", at positions 524 to 903 of the family's 1533-position model. The record is from RNAcentral.
UACGUAGGGUGCGAGCGUUAAUCGGAAUUACUGGGCGUAAAGCGUGCGCAGGCGGCUUUGCAAGACAGAGGUGAAAUCCCCGGGCUCAACCUGGGAACUGCCUUUGUGACUGCAAGGCUAGAGUACGGCAGAGGGGGAUGGAAUUCCGCGUGUAGCAGUGAAAUGCGUAGAUAUGCGGAGGAACACCGAUGGCGAAGGCAAUCCCCCUGGGCCUGUACUGACGCUCAUGCACGAAAGCGUGGGGGAGCAAACAGGAUUAGAUACCCUGGUAGUCCACGCCCUAAACGAUGUCAACUGGUUGUUGGACGGCUUGCUGUUCAGUAACGAAGCUAACGCGUGAAGUUGACAGCCUGGGGAGUACGGCCGCAAGGUUGAAACUCA